This 45-nucleotide non-coding RNA is filed under the name Schistosoma mansoni. The record is from RNAcentral. Lineage: Eukaryota; Metazoa; Platyhelminthes; Trematoda; Strigeidida; Schistosomatidae.
AUCUAGCUGAUGAGUCCCAUAUAGGACGAGGCAUACAUCCUGGAU